GAGUUUGAUCCUGGCUCAGAUUGAACGCUGGCGGCAUGCCUUACACAUGCAAGUCGAACGGCAGCGCGGGGCAACCUGGCGGCGAGUGGCGAACGGGUGAGUAAUAUAUCGGAACGUACCCUGGAGUGGGGGAUAACGUAGCGAAAGUUACGCUAAUACCGCAUACGAUCCAUGGAUGAAAGCAGGGGACUGCAAGGCCUUGUGCUCCAGGAGCGGCCGAUAUCUGAUUAGCUAGUUGGCGGGGUAAAAGCCCACCAAGGCAUCGAUCAGUAGCUGGUCUGAGAGGACGACCAGCCACACUGGAACUGAGACACGGUCCAGACUCCUACGGGAGGCAGCAGUGGGGGAAUUUUGGACAAUGGGCGCAAGCCUGAUCCAGCAAUGCCGCGUGAGUGAAGAAGGCCU
This 405-nucleotide ribosomal RNA is filed under the name uncultured bacterium. RNAcentral's name for it is "bacterial SSU rRNA". It matches the Rfam family "Bacterial small subunit ribosomal RNA", at positions 9 to 417 of the family's 1533-position model. The record is from RNAcentral.